UGUCUGGCUGAAUUAAAGCAGCAAGGUGCCCGCGCGGGUGAGCUCCGUGAGACCCCACCCGCAUCAGCAGCAGCGCCCUGGAGCCUCGAUGCCAUUUGUCACACCGCGUCGCCCGGCGCCACACCGAGCGAUGUCACCAAGCGCGAACGUACCAGCGAGAGGUCGUCGAUGACGUGCUGUUGUUCCAGAACCUGCAGCCGCAGGAACUCGAUCUCCUGCUCGUCCCUCGUCAGGCUGAGGUCGUUCAAGGAAGUGUGCCGCUUCAGGGACGCCUGCGCCGACAGCUUCUCUUUCUGCAGCCAGAGGGAGAGCGCCCAGCAGGAGGGGCUUCAGCUGGACCUCGGUCUCCCGGGAGCGUUUCAGCUGCGAUCAGAAAGACACAGAAGGCCGGUGGCUGUAAGGCCCAGCGGACUGCUGAUGUCACACGGCGGAGGCCAGCAGGGGUCCAACCCAGGACCGGAGCUGCCUCCGCUGGGACCACAAACCCCAGAAGAUCCCACAACCACCUGGAUCCCAAACACAGUAUCCCACCUGAGGCUCAGGGGGGCCUCGCAUAAGGCAACAGGGGAGGCCCACAGAUCCGCCCCCGGGCACCCCGCUGGCAAGUGACCUGUGCUGGGUCCACUGGUCUGCACUUCCUUCACCUCUGGGCAUAACCCCCAGGGGUCCUGGGUCUCACGCGCAAAGGUCAAUCCCAUGACCCGGCUGCUCCUGGCCACCAUUCCUCCCCAAGUACAGACCUAGCAGAAAGCUCUACCUUCUUGAGACAGCAGGCAAUCAAUCCUGGGCCCCACUCCGUGCCAGACUCGGUGCCGGGACAUCAAACCCGAAGGCGUUCCCUGAGUCUGUACAACUAGGGGCUGUCCUUCCAGUCUCUCCCGUGGGAUCAGCGCUGGGGGAGCCCCUCUGGUGCCUGGGGCCCUGUGCUGGGGGCCGAAUCGAAGGGACGGCAUGCCAGGGUGCCCGUCCAAUGUCAGAGGAAGAGGGCAAAGACAGUAAAGGAGGUAAGAACACAGUGAGCCAAGCGCGGGCAGAUGUUCCAGGCGGGGAGACCACGCGCCCUGAGGUUCAGAGCAGGCAAGAGCACAGCUCGUUCAGUGCAGCGGGAACACAGAACGUGGGGUGCUGGGCGUAGAGAGGUGGACACGGUGAGGCCUGGUUUCGAGGGCUGGAGAACUCUGUCAUUCAGUUUCUGCCCUGGCCCUUGAGGGCUGCUCUCUGUGGUCGGGUCUGCCUUCUCGAACACACUGUGCCUCCCCACAACCCCAGGAGGGGCCCCAUCCCCACUUUACAGACAGAGAAACUGAGAGCAAAGACGUGGGAUGCUGUGCUCGUGGCCACACAGAAAGUGCUAGAACCAAGAAUCAAGCACAGGGACUGACUGCAGAUCCCUGAUUUUGGUCGCCAGGUUGUAAAGUUAAGAUCAAGCAGUCUGGUGGGACCCACUCAAAUAUAAAAUGGACCUUUGAGGGGCGCCUGGGUGGCUCAGCCGGUUAAGCGUCCAACUCUUGGUUUUGGCUCAGGCCAUGAUCUCACGGUUCCGUGGGUUCGAGACUUGUGUCGGGCUCUGCGUUGGCAGAGAGAAGCCUGCUUGGGAUUCUCUCUCUCCCUCUCUCUCUGCCCCCCCCACCACUCGCACUGUCUCUGUGUCUCUGAAAAUAAAUUAAUAAACUUUAUGAAAAAAAAAUGACCUUUGACCCAUACAUUCUACUUCUGAAAAUCCUCACAGGAAUAAAAUUCCAAGUGGUAACGACAGAAAUGUGUCUUCAGGUGGCAUAUGCUCAUAACAGCAAAGACACCCGAGCAGCCUAGAGGAAUGGGUGAAUGAGCCACGGGUCGUCCUCAAAGGGGGGCGUGAGCUGUGCACCUGCCCAAACGACAGCCGGAACUGAUGAAUCAUGGGAAAAAAAGCAAGUUGCAGAACAAUAACACAGAGGAGAAAAUAUCCCGUCUGUAACGGCCAAACAACAGACAGUCUCCUGGUGGGUGUCGAUAUAUCUACACCAGUUUUAAAAGCAUGUAAGAACCACCCCCAAACAGCUAAUAGUAGUUAUUUCGUGAUUUUAAGAUCAAAGUGCUGGCUAGCUGCUCAAUUUUUGCUUUAAAUACUUCAGUGUGCUCCAAAUUGUUGCACACAAGCUACAUUUCUUUUCUAAUCUUCUCAGUGAACUAUUAUGCAGUACACGAGGGACUUUUUUUAGUUAAUGAAUAUUUAAGCGAAAAGCGUACAUCUAAUAUUAGACAUACAGUCUGAUUAAAGCCACUUGAAAAUAUGCUUUUAAAAAUACUUGAUGGAGGAGUGCCUGGGUGGCUCAGUCAGUUAAGCGUCCGGCUCUUGAUUUCGGCUGAGGUCAUGAUCUCACGGUUCGUAAGAUCGAGCCCCGCUUCAGGCUCUGGGAUGACAGUGUGGAACCCGUUUAGGAUUCCCUCUCUCCCUCUCUCUGCCUCUCCCUUGCUGUCACUCUCUCUCUCAAAAUAAAUAAAUAAAAACAUUUGAAAAAAUUAAAAAAAAAAUACUUGAAGGCAAUGACUUUACUUUGAUCCUGUUAAGAUACAAAGAGGUGACUCUUACGCUGUUCAUCUCGCAUGGUUCUCACAUACUAUAUAGAUGCACUUGCUUUCAUGAUAAAAUUUAGAAUCAACAGAAAUAUGACAAGACACUUGUCAAGAAGUUUAUGUACCGACUCCCACGACAUAAAAGUUCACUUCGCUGUUUAUGCAGCAAAUUUACACAUAUUCAGGAAACUACUCUUUUUACUAGAUUAUCUUUUUUAUUUGUUUAUUUAUUUAAUAAUUUUGAGAGAGAGUGUACAUGUGCCGAGUGGGGGAGGGGCAGAGAAAGAGGAAAUGGGCGUCCCUAGGGAUUCAUUUUUUUUAACCCAGAGUCCCUGUUCGUUAUCUUUAAAAUUAGAAAUAUGUGAACUUUGGGACUCCUGGGUGGCUCAGUCGGUUGAGCGUCAGACUUCGGCUCAGGUCACGAUCUCACAGUUCGUGGGUUCGAGCCCCGCGUCGGGCUCUGUGCGGACAGCUCAGAGCCCGGAGCCUGCUUCGGAUUCUGUGUCUCCCUCUCUCUCUGCCCCUCCCCUGCUCACGCUGUCUCUCCCUCUCUCUCUCUCUCUCUC
Long non-coding RNA from Acinonyx jubatus (cheetah), 3122 nucleotides. RefSeq lists it as uncharacterized. The transcript has 2 exons. Lineage: Eukaryota; Metazoa; Chordata; Mammalia; Carnivora; Felidae. The record is from RefSeq and is a predicted model, not a curated record.